Molecule: ribosomal RNA, 357 nt
Filed under: Physarum album
Lineage: Eukaryota; Evosea; Eumycetozoa; Physariida; Physaraceae
Description: partial small subunit ribosomal RNA
Rfam family: Eukaryotic small subunit ribosomal RNA
Source: RNAcentral
UCUGAAUCUGCGAACGGCUCCGCAAACCAGUUGUUGGCUAUUACAGGAAAGACUCGGGAACGGGAACUUCAUUGAUCCCGAUCCCUUGGCUGCCAUGGAUAAUCGCGGUAAUUCUGAGACUAAUACAAGAACGUACCACCUAACCGACCGGGUAACUGGGAGGUUGGGGGUCGUGUGGGCUUAAGCUGCAAUCGAUCGAAUGAAUACACACACGAUCAAACCACCAUAAACAACGAUCGUGAGCUCCAGUCUUACUACCCGCAAGGGGAAAAGCGUGGCUCUCGUUCGGGUGGGCCCAGUAAUGCGCUUCUGACCUAUCAACUAUAAUGCGAUUCCAUGGACUGCGAUGGUCACAAC